CACUAAGAAGCUAAAUAGGUAUAGCGUUAGCCUUUUAAGCUAGAGAUUGGUGCCUCCUAACCACCCUUAGUGA
RNAcentral lists this transfer RNA (73 nucleotides) under Lophotus capellei (unicornfish). RNAcentral describes it as "tRNA-Lys". It matches the Rfam family "tRNA". From Rfam's summary of the family: Transfer RNA (tRNA) molecules are approximately 80 nucleotides in length. Their secondary structure includes four short double-helical elements and three loops (D, anti-codon, and T loops). Lineage: Eukaryota; Metazoa; Chordata; Actinopteri; Lampriformes; Lophotidae. The record is from RNAcentral.